Molecule: transfer RNA, 68 nt
Filed under: Marmota monax (woodchuck)
Lineage: Eukaryota; Metazoa; Chordata; Mammalia; Rodentia; Sciuridae
Description: tRNA.Ala
Source: RNAcentral
GGAUAUAACUCAAUUGGCAAAGUGCUUGCCCUGCAUGCACAAGGCUCUGGGUUCAAUUCCCAGGACCA